RNAcentral lists this ribosomal RNA (405 nucleotides) under uncultured bacterium. RNAcentral describes it as "partial 16S ribosomal RNA". It matches the Rfam family "Bacterial small subunit ribosomal RNA", at positions 29 to 525 of the family's 1533-position model. The record is from RNAcentral.
AUUGAACGCUGGCGGCAGGCCUAACACAUGCACGUCGAACGAGUGGCGGACGGGUGAGUAAUGUCUGGGAAACUGCCUGAUGGAGGGGGAUAACUACUGGAAACGGUAGCUAAUACCGCCUACCAUCGGAUGUGCCCAGAUGGGAUUAGCUAGUAGGUGGUGGAAAGGCUCACCGAGGCGACGAUCCCUAGCUGGUCUGAGAGGAUGACCAGCAACAGUGGAACUGAGACACGGGACAGACGCAGACGGGAGGCAGCAGUGGGGAAUAUUGAACAAUGGGCGCAAGCCUGAUGCAGCCAUGCAGCGUGUAUGAAGAAGGCCUUCGGGUUGAAAAGUACUUUCAGCGGGGAGGCGUUACCCGCAGAAGAAGCAACGGUUAACUCCGCGCCAGCAGCCGCGGGAAUA